RNAcentral lists this ribosomal RNA (398 nucleotides) under uncultured bacterium. RNAcentral's name for it is "bacterial SSU rRNA". It matches the Rfam family "Bacterial small subunit ribosomal RNA", at positions 335 to 747 of the family's 1533-position model. The record is from RNAcentral.
ACUCCUACGGGAGGCAGCAGUGGGGAAUAUUGGACAAUGGGGGAAACCCUGAUCCAGCAAUGCCGCGUGAGUGAUGAAGGCCUUAGGGUUGUAAAGCUCUUUUACCAGGGAUGAUAAUGACAGUACCUGGAGAAUAAGCUCCGGCUAACUCCGUGCCAGCAGCCGCGGUAAUACGGAGGGAGCUAGCGUUGUUUCGGAAUUUACUGGGCGUAAAGCGCACGUAGGCGGUUACUCAAGUCAGAGGUGAAAGCCCGGGCUCAACCCGGAACUGCCUUUGAAACUAGGUAACUAGAAUCCUGGAGAGGUGAGUGGAAUUCCGAGUGUAGAAGGGUGAAAAUUCGUAGAUAUUCGGAAGAACACCAGUGGCGAAGGCGGCUCACUGGACAGGUAUUGACGCU